AGUGAACGUUGGCGGCGUGGAUUAGGCAUGCAAGUCGAGCGAGAACCGUAACAAUACGGGGACAGCGGCGAAAGGGACAGUAAUGUGUAGGUACCUACCCCGAGGUCUGGGAUAGCUGCGGGAAACUGCAGGUAAUACCGGAUAAUGUCUUCGGACCAAAGGUGUGAUUCCACCUUGGGAGGGGCCUGCAUCCUAUUAGCUAGUUGGCGGGGUAAUGGCCCACCAAGGCAACGAUGGGUAGCGGGUGUGAGAGCACGACCCGCGUCAUUGGGACGGAGACAAUGCCCAGACACCUACGGGUGGCUGCAGUCGAGGAUGUUCGGCAAUGGGCGCAAGCCGGACCGAGCGACGCCGCGUGCGGGAUGAAGGCCUUCGGGUUGUAAACCGCUGUCGUAGAGGAGGAAAUGCAGGGGGGUUCUCCCUUCUGUUUGACCUAUUCUAGGAGGAAGGACGGGCUAAGCUCGUGCCAGCCGCCGCCGUAA
Molecule: ribosomal RNA, 482 nt
Filed under: uncultured bacterium
Lineage: Bacteria
Description: partial 16S ribosomal RNA
Rfam family: Bacterial small subunit ribosomal RNA
Source: RNAcentral